This 492-nucleotide ribosomal RNA is filed under the name uncultured bacterium. RNAcentral describes it as "partial 16S ribosomal RNA". It matches the Rfam family "Bacterial small subunit ribosomal RNA", at positions 28 to 507 of the family's 1533-position model. The record is from RNAcentral.
GGUGAACGCUGGCGGUGUGCCUAACACAUGCAAGUCGAACGACAACACAGUAAGAUCUUGCUCUUACCGUUAGCGAGUGACGGACGGGUGAGGAGUGCAUCGCAAUCUACUUUUUCGGGGAUAAUAACGUGGGACAGCUGCCAAUACUGCAGCAUACGACCUACGGCUUAGAUCAGUAGUUCAUCGCGGCUUGCCCGUUUGUUUUAGACGAUGUCGCAUUAGCUAGUUGGCUGGGUAAAGGCCCACCAAGGCGACGAUGCGUAGCUGGUCUGAGAGGAUGAUCAGCCACACUGGAACUGAGACACGGUCCAGACUCCUACGGGAGGCAGCAGUGGGGAAUAUUCGACAAUGGGCGCAAGCCUGACGGAGCCACACCGCGUGAGUGAAGAAGGCCUUCGGGUUGUAAAGCUCUGUUGUUGGGAAAGAACAGCUGUGUGAGAAAAUCCGCACGUCCUGACGGUACCUAAACAAAAAGCAACGGCUAACUUCGUG